AUGUCAAACGAUAGUUCAUAUAAUGCAUUAUCAACUCUAAGUUCUAGUAAAAUGGUUAAUAAAUACACAUAUAACACAUCAAAAAAUAAACAGCAAAUAAAUAAUGGUUCUAAACAGGAAAUAUGUUUGGAAAAUAUAUCUUCUUCAAACCUGCUAAGUAAUAAAAAUAUGAAAAAUGGUUUGUAUCAUAACGAGGAGGAAAUAAAACAUCAUAAAAAAACGAUCGAUUUGGAUGUGGUAAAAAAAAAUAUUCAACUAUACAACAAUUUUAUUAAAACGAAUGAAGAAAUGAAACAUAUUCGAAAUGAAUAUAAAUCAAUAAUACAAACUAUUGAUUCUUUUAUUGGUGAUAAUAUAAAUAGUCAAAGGUUAAACAACGUAUUAAAUAUUGAAAACGAUUUAAAAAAUCAUGAAAAUUUAGGAGAAGAUAAAAAAAAUGAAAAAAAAAAUUUUACUACAAAUAAUAGCACUAGUAGUCGUGAUAAUAGUAGUAACAAUGAUGAAUCAAUGAAAAUUAUUGACGAUGUGUCCUCAGAACAUAAAAAUAAAUAUAUUAUAUUAAAAUAUGAUGAAGAUUCAUUAAUAGAGGCAUUAGAAAAAUUAAGAAUAAAUAAACAAAAACGAUUAAAGGAAGAAGAAGAAAGAAAAAAAGCUGAAAAAGAAAAAACUGCAAAAGAAAAAGCAGCAGAAAUAAAAACAAAAAUAGAUAAAGAUAUAUUUUUCAAAUGUAAUAAAAAAGAAUAUUAUGAAAAAGCUAAAUCAAUAUUAAAUCAAAGUAAUUAUAAUAAAAUAUUAAUUGAUAAAUUUAAUGUAGCUUUAUUAUAUUCACAAAUCAAAUGUUUAAUUAAUAAUAAUUGGUUAAAUGAUGAAGUAAUUAAUUUUUAUUUAAGUAUAUUACAAGAAUAUAAUCAAGAUGGUGAAAAACGUAAUCAAUAUAACUUACCCAAAAUUUAUACCUUUAGUACUUUUUUUUUAUCAAUCCUUAAGUAUGAACGGCUCUUAUAA
Molecule: long non-coding RNA, 1005 nt
Filed under: Piliocolobus tephrosceles (Ugandan red Colobus)
Lineage: Eukaryota; Metazoa; Chordata; Mammalia; Primates; Cercopithecidae
Description: lncRNA (ENSPTEG00000001901.1)
Source: RNAcentral